GCCGGGAUGGCGAAACUGGUAGACGCACGGGACUCAAAAUCCCGCGGUCGCAAGACCAUGGGGGUUCGAUCCCCCCUCCCGGCACCA
Molecule: transfer RNA, 87 nt
Filed under: Deltaproteobacteria bacterium
Lineage: Bacteria; Pseudomonadati; Myxococcota; Myxococcia
Description: tRNA-Leu
Rfam family: tRNA
About the family: Transfer RNA (tRNA) molecules are approximately 80 nucleotides in length. Their secondary structure includes four short double-helical elements and three loops (D, anti-codon, and T loops).
Source: RNAcentral